GACAGCCAAAGCCAGGGCCCGUCCUUCUGGUUUUCUGGAGACGCUUGCUCUUGGGACCCAGCUGCCACGCUGUGAGGAAGCCCAACUAGCCUAUGUAGAGAGACCACAUGGAGAGGCCACUUAGACCACAUGGAGAGACCACAUGGAGGGGCCACAUGGAGAGGCCACGUGACAAGGCCACAUGGAGAGGUCUCAUGGAGAGGCCACACGAGGCCACAUGGAGGUGUUCUGGCCACAGGCCCCACUGAGGUCCAGGUCAACACCAGCAUUGACCACCAGACCUGCGAGUGAAGAUGCUUCCAGGAGACUUCAGUCCCCAACUGCUGAGUCACUGUGGUGGAGGCUCCAGACACCAUGGAACAGAUAACUCGUAGUGCCAUCCCCUGUGCAAAUACCUGCCCUGGAGAAGCCGUGAGCACCCCACAGUGGCCGUUCUGGACCCUGAACUUGGGAGUGCCUUGUUAUGUACAAGACAGAAUGUUUCUGGCUAUUGCUCAGCCUUGGCGCUCCUCUCCCCCGCUUGCCUGUCACUGUAAUGACAGUCUCACAUGUUCCUCUGAAGGAAGGGCUCCUGGGCUUCCUCGCUGCACACAUUCCCAUCCUCUCUCCCCUGCUGCAGCCAUUGGCGUCGGCAGCACAGAGUAUCAGCCCCCACCCACUGCCCAAUUCCCCAGCACCGACCGCUGAUUUCCCUCCAGCCAGACACAAGACAUCACCAGGGGACGGUGUGUACAUGUCAAGCUGCAGGCAACGGCUCAGACAAUGUUGGGCAGGAUGGGAGGCUCCUGGCCCUAUGUCGCCAUUUCUGCCAGAGAAACACCAUCACCUCAAGAACCAAGCCAGAAGGAGGCAUUGCUGAGUCCCUGGCUCAUGUGAGGGGCCCCACCCUGGCCGCUCCGUUCUGCAGCAGCCCUGGAGCCCACCCUCUGCCGGCAGCCCUGUCCCCAUCCGGAUCCUGGUGCCUCCUCCCACCUCCUGCCACAUUUGGGCCGAGCCUCUUCCCAGAGCCCAGGACAGGUAAAGGAGGUCUCUGCCCCAAACUGACACUGCAAAUACACCAGCCUCAAGAGCACAAGUGCCGGGUGCGGUGGUUCAUGCCUGUAAUCC
This 1107-nucleotide long non-coding RNA is filed under the name Homo sapiens (human). Its description in RNAcentral is "HSALNT0118224". Lineage: Eukaryota; Metazoa; Chordata; Mammalia; Primates; Hominidae. The record is from RNAcentral.